AGAUUGAACGCUGGCGGCGUGCCUAACACAUGCAAGUCGAGCGGUAACAGGUGUAGCAAUACAUGCUGACGAGCGGCGAACGGGUGAGUAAUGCUUUGGAAUCUUCCCAGUAGUGGGGAAUAACCAGUCGAAAGAUUGGCUAAUACCGCAUACGUCUGUAAAGGGAAAGCGGGGGCUCGUAAGACCUCGCGCUAUUGGAUGAGCCAAAGUCGGAUUAGCUAGUUGGUGGGGUAAUGGCCUACCAAGGCGACAAUCCGUAGCUGGUCUGAGAGGACGACCAGCCACACCGGAACUGAGACACGGUCCGGACUCCUACGGGAGGCAGCAGUGGGGGAAUAUUGGACAAUGGGCGCAAGCCUGAUCCAGCCGUGCCGCGUGAGUGAUGAGGCCUUAGGGUGUAAGCUCUUCAGUGGGAAGAUAAUGACGGUACCACAGAAGAAGCCCCGGCUAACUUCGUGCCAGCAGCCGC
RNAcentral lists this ribosomal RNA (469 nucleotides) under uncultured bacterium. RNAcentral's name for it is "SSU rRNA". It matches the Rfam family "Bacterial small subunit ribosomal RNA", at positions 26 to 518 of the family's 1533-position model. The record is from RNAcentral.